Molecule: microRNA, 22 nt
Filed under: Homo sapiens (human)
Lineage: Eukaryota; Metazoa; Chordata; Mammalia; Primates; Hominidae
Description: hsa-miR-6733-5p
Source: miRBase by way of RNAcentral
UGGGAAAGACAAACUCAGAGUU